Molecule: ribosomal RNA, 1245 nt
Filed under: Bifidobacterium sp.
Lineage: Bacteria; Bacillati; Actinomycetota; Actinomycetes; Bifidobacteriales; Bifidobacteriaceae
Also listed under: 3 other names
Description: bacterial SSU rRNA
Rfam family: Bacterial small subunit ribosomal RNA
Source: RNAcentral
AACGGGAGAGGAUGCGUGACCGACCUGNCCCAUGCACCGGAAUAGCUCCUGGAAACGGGUGGUAAUGCCGGAUGUUCCACAUGAGCGCAUGCGAGUGUGGGAAAGGCUUUUGCGGCAUGGGAUGGGGUCGCGUCCUAUCAGCUUGUUGGUGGGGUAACGGCCUACCAAGGCGUUGACGGGUAGCCGGCCUGAGAGGGCGACCGGCCACAUUGGGACUGAGAUACGGCCCAGACUCCUACGGGAGGCAGCAGUGGGGAAUAUUGCACAAUGGGCGCAAGCCUGAUGCAGCGACGCCGCGUGCGGGAUGGAGGCCUUCGGGUUGUAAACCGCUUUUGUUCAAGGGCAAGGCACGGUUUCGGCCGUGUUGAGUGGAUUGUUCGAAUAAGCACCGGCUAACUACGUGCCAGCAGCCGCGGUAAUACGUAGGGUGCAAGCGUUAUCCGGAUUUAUUGGGCGUAAAGGGCUCGUAGGCGGUUCGUCGCGUCCGGUGUGAAAGUCCAUCGCUUAACGGUGGAUCCGCGCCGGGUACGGGCGGGCUUGAGUGCGGUAGGGGAGACUGGAAUUCCCGGUGUAACGGUGGAAUGUGUAGAUAUCGGGAAGAACACCAAUGGCGAAGGCAGGUCUCUGGGCCGUUACUGACGCUGAGGAGCGAAAGCGUGGGAAGCGAACAGGAUUAGAUACCCUGGUAGUCCACGCCGUAAACGGUGGAUGCUGGAUGUGGGGCCCUUUUUCCGGGUCCUGUGUCGGAGCUAACGCGUUAAGCAUCCCGCCUGGGGAGUACGGCCGCAAGGNUAAAACUCAAAGAAAUUGACGGGGGCCCGCACAAGCGGCGGAGCAUGCGGAUUAAUUCGAUGCAACGCGAAGAACCUUACCUGGGCUUGACAUGUGCCUGACGAUCCCGGAGACGGGGUUUCCCUUCGGGGCGGGUUCACAGGUGGUGCAUGGUCGUCAGCUCGUGUCGUGAGAUGUUGGGUUAAGUCCCGCAACGAGCGCAACCCUCGCCGCGUGUUGCCAGCGGGUCAUGCCGGGAACUCACGUGGGACCGCCGGGGUUAACUCGGAGGAAGGUGGGGAUGACGUCAGAUCAUCAUGCCCCUUACGUCCAGGGCUUCACGCAUGCUACAAUGGCCGGUACAACGGGGUGCGACACGGUGACGUGGGGCGGAUCCCUGAAAACCGGUCUCAGUUCGGAUCGCAGUCUGCAACUCGANUGCUAANGNGCGGAGUCNCUAGUAAUCGCNNAUCA